RNAcentral lists this ribosomal RNA (285 nucleotides) under uncultured beta proteobacterium. RNAcentral's name for it is "partial 16S ribosomal RNA". It matches the Rfam family "Bacterial small subunit ribosomal RNA", at positions 508 to 792 of the family's 1533-position model. Lineage: Bacteria; Pseudomonadati; Pseudomonadota; Betaproteobacteria. The record is from RNAcentral.
CCAGCAGCCGCGGUAAUACGUAGGGUGCGAGCGUUAAUCGGAAUUACUGGGCGUAAAGCGUGCGCAGGCGGUUCGCCGUGUCCGAUGUGAAAGCCCCGGGCUCAACCUGGGAACGGCAUUGGAAACUGGCGGGCUGGAGUAUGGCAGAGGGGGGUGGAAUUCCACGUGUAGCAGUGAAAUGCGUAGAUAUGUGGAGGAAUACCGAUGGCGAAGGCAGCCCCCUGGGAUAACACUGACGCUCAUGCGCGAAAGUGUGGGGAGCAAACAGGAUUAGAUACCCUGGUA